AUUGAACGCUGGCGGCAGGCCUAACACAUGCAAGUCGAGCGGAUGAGGGGAGCUUGCUCCUGGAUUCAGCGGCGGACGGGUGAGUAAUGCCUAGGAAUCUGCCUGGUAGUGGGGGAUAACGUCCGGAAACGGGUGCUAAUACCGCAUACGUCCUGAGGGUGAAAGUGGGGGAUCUUAGGACCUCACGCUAUCAGAUGAGCCUAGGUCGGAUUAGCUAGUUGGUGGGGUAAAGGCCUACCAAGGCGACGAUCCGUAACUGGUCUGAGAGGAUGAUCAGUCACACUGGAACUGAGACACGGUCCAGACUCCUACGGGAGGCAGCAGUGGGGAAUAUUGGACAAUGGGCGAAAGCCUGAUCCAGCCAUGCCGCGUGUGUGAAGAAGGUCUUCGGAUUGUAAAGCACUUUUAGUUGGGAGGAAGGGCAUUAAGCUAAUACCAUGCUGUUUUGACGGUACCGGCAGAAUAAGCACCGGCUAACUACGUG
RNAcentral lists this ribosomal RNA (484 nucleotides) under uncultured bacterium. RNAcentral's name for it is "partial 16S ribosomal RNA". It matches the Rfam family "Bacterial small subunit ribosomal RNA", at positions 30 to 507 of the family's 1533-position model. The record is from RNAcentral.